AGUGAACGCUGGCGGUAGGCCUAACACAUGCAAGUCGAACGGCAGCACAGUAAGAGCUUGCUCUUACGGGUGGCGAGUGGCGGACGGGUGAGGAAUACAUCGGAAUCUACUUUUUCGUGGGGGAUAACGUAGGGAAACUUACGCUAAUACCGCAUACGACCUACGGGUGAAAGCAGGGGAUCUUCGGACCUUGCGCGAUUGAAUGAGCCGAUGUCGGAUUAGCUAGUUGGCGGGGUAAAGGCCCACCAAGGCGACGAUCCGUAGCUGGUCUGAGAGGAUGAUCAGCCACACUGGAACUGAGACACGGUCCAGACUCCUACGGGAGGCAGCAGUGGGGAAUAUUGGACAAUGGGCGCAAGCCUGAUCCAGCCCUACCGCGUGGGUGAAGAAGGCCUUCGGGUUGUAAAGCCCUUUUGUUGGGAAAGAAAAGCAGCAGGUUAAUACCCCGCUGUUCUGACGGUACCCAAAGAAUAAGCACCGGCUAACUUCCUG
RNAcentral lists this ribosomal RNA (492 nucleotides) under uncultured bacterium. RNAcentral describes it as "partial 16S ribosomal RNA". It matches the Rfam family "Bacterial small subunit ribosomal RNA", at positions 29 to 507 of the family's 1533-position model. The record is from RNAcentral.